This 440-nucleotide ribosomal RNA is filed under the name uncultured bacterium. RNAcentral describes it as "partial 16S ribosomal RNA". It matches the Rfam family "Bacterial small subunit ribosomal RNA", at positions 338 to 795 of the family's 1533-position model. The record is from RNAcentral.
CCUACGGGUGGCAGCAGUAGGGAAUCUUUCACAAUGGGCGAAAGCCUGAUGGAGCAACGCCGCGUGCAGGAUGAAGGCCUUCGGGUUGUAAACUGCUUUUAUAAGCGAGAUAUAUGAUGGUAACUUAUGAUUAAGGCUCGGCUAACUUCGUGCCAGCAGCCGCGGUAAUACGGAGGAUUCAAGCGUUAUCCGGAUUUAUUGGGUUUAAAGGGUGCGUAGGCGGUCGGAUAAGUUAGAGGUGAAAUCCCGAGGCUCAACUUCGGAAUUGCCUCUGAUACUGUGCGGCUAGAGUGUAGUUGCGGUAGGCGGAAUGUAUGGUGUAGCGGUGAAAUGCUUAGAGAUCAUACAGAACACCGAUUGCGAAGGCAGCUUACCAAGCUACUACUGACGUUGAGGCACGAAAGCGUGGGGAGCAAACAGGAUUAGAUACCCCAGUAGUC